CUACGGAGGAUGCAAGCGUUAUCCGGAUUUAUUGGGUUUAAAGGGUGCGUAGGCGGUUUGCUAAGCGGGAGGUGAAAUGCCGGCGCUCAACGUCGGAAGUGCCUCCCGAACUGGUGGACUGGGAUGACUCUGCCGUGGGAGGAAUGUGUAGUGUAGCGGUGAAAUGCUUAGAGAUUACACAGAACACCGAUUGCGAAGGCAUCUCACGAAGGGUUGAUUGACGCUGAGGCACGAAAGCGUGGGGAUCAAACAGGAUUAGAUACCCUGGUAGUCCACGCAGUAAACGAUGAUGGCUAACCGCUGGUUUUUUCGGAUCAGUGGCCAAGCGAAAGCGAUAAGCCAUCCACCUGGGGAGUACGACCGCAAGGUUGAAACUCAAAUGAAUUGGCGGGG
Molecule: ribosomal RNA, 393 nt
Filed under: uncultured bacterium
Lineage: Bacteria
Description: partial 16S ribosomal RNA
Rfam family: Bacterial small subunit ribosomal RNA
Source: RNAcentral